UGAGGAAUAUUGGUCAAUGGGCGUAAGCCUGAACCAGCCAUCCCGCGUGAAGGAAGAAGGCGCUAUGCGUCGUAAACUUCUUUUCCAGAGGAAGAAAACCCCCGACGAGUCGGGGCUUGCCGGUACUCUGGGAAUAAGCAUCGGCUAACUCCGUGCCAGCAGCCGCGGUAAUACGGAGGAUGCGAGCGUUAUCCGGAUUUAUUGGGUUUAAAGGGUGCGUAGGCGGAUUAAUAAGUCAGUGGUGAAAACCUUCAGCUUAACUGGAGAAUUGCCAUUGAUACUGUUAGUCUUGAGUACGGUCAAGGUAGGCGGAAUGUGUAAUGUAGCGGUGAAAUGCUUAGAUAUUACACAGAACACCGAUUGCGAAGGCAGCUUACUGGGCCAUUACUGACGCUGAGGCACGAAAGCGUGGGGAGCGAACAGG
RNAcentral lists this ribosomal RNA (424 nucleotides) under uncultured bacterium. Its description in RNAcentral is "bacterial SSU rRNA". It matches the Rfam family "Bacterial small subunit ribosomal RNA", at positions 355 to 776 of the family's 1533-position model. The record is from RNAcentral.